GGGUAUAUAACUCAGUUGGUAGAGUGCUGGCCUCAAAUGCACAAGGCCCUGGGUUUAAUCCCCAGUACCACCA
RNAcentral lists this transfer RNA (73 nucleotides) under Ictidomys tridecemlineatus (thirteen-lined ground squirrel). Its description in RNAcentral is "Spermophilus tridecemlineatus (thirteen-lined ground squirrel) tRNA". It matches the Rfam family "tRNA". Rfam says of the family: Transfer RNA (tRNA) molecules are approximately 80 nucleotides in length. Their secondary structure includes four short double-helical elements and three loops (D, anti-codon, and T loops). RNAcentral also lists the same sequence under 1 other name. The record is from Rfam by way of RNAcentral. Lineage: Eukaryota; Metazoa; Chordata; Mammalia; Rodentia; Sciuridae.